CGGUGCCGUACUGGAGGAUCGUCGGCGCGGCCAUGCCCAGGCCGAUGCCGAUGCGCCGGGGAUCGUUGUCCUGGGCGCCCGC
Molecule: transfer RNA, 82 nt
Filed under: Streptomyces galilaeus
Lineage: Bacteria; Bacillati; Actinomycetota; Actinomycetes; Kitasatosporales; Streptomycetaceae
Description: tRNA-Gly
Source: RNAcentral